RNAcentral lists this ribosomal RNA (253 nucleotides) under uncultured bacterium. RNAcentral's name for it is "partial 16S ribosomal RNA". It matches the Rfam family "Bacterial small subunit ribosomal RNA", at positions 524 to 776 of the family's 1533-position model. The record is from RNAcentral.
UACGGGGGGGGCAAGCGUUGUUCGGAAUUACUGGGCGUAAAGGGCUUGUAGGCGGCCAACUAAGUCAUACGUGAAAUCCCUCGGCUUAACCGGGGAACUGCGUCUGAUACUGGAUGGCUUGAGAUUGGGAGAGGGAUGCGGAAUUCCAGGUGUAGCGGUGAAAUGCGUAGAUAUCUGGAGGAACACCGGUGGCGAAGGCGGCGUUCUGGACUGUUUCUGACACUGAAAAACGAAAGCCAGGGGAGCAAACGGG